Molecule: long non-coding RNA, 456 nt
Filed under: Mytilus galloprovincialis (Mediterranean mussel)
Lineage: Eukaryota; Metazoa; Mollusca; Bivalvia; Mytilida; Mytilidae
Source: RNAcentral
CAAUAAUACUGAACUCCUAGGAAAAUUCAAAACGGAAAGUCCCUAAUCAAAUGGCAAAAUCAAAUGAUAAAACACAUCAAACGAAUGGACAACAACGGUCAUAUUCUUGACUUGGGACAGGCAUUUACAAAUGCAGAAAAUGGUGGACUGAACCCGGUUUUAUAGGAAGAUUAUGUAUGGGGAGAAUCCACAUCUGAUUGUCACCGCAUGUUAUUAGGCCGCCAUGUUUUAGGAUAGAAAGAUGUUUAGUCUACACGCGCUGGUGUAUAUGUCUGUGGUUCUUUAUAUAUAAAGCAUUACCUCAUUAUAUAUAUAAACACAUGCACAAUAUCAACGGUUUUAUAACGGUAUAAAAUUACAAAAGAGCAAAAAACUAAAGAGUAUGUUAAAUGGCUUUUUCUUUAACUUCAAGGAACUUAACACUUUCUAAUUGUUGAAAAAAAAGAUAUAUCCACC